Molecule: long non-coding RNA, 546 nt
Organism: Oncorhynchus tshawytscha (Chinook salmon)
Lineage: Eukaryota; Metazoa; Chordata; Actinopteri; Salmoniformes; Salmonidae
Source: Ensembl
UCUCUCUGUGGAGAGAGAGGAGGGACCUGCCUCUAAAAGGUGUCUCUCUGGGAAGAGAGAGGAGGGACCUGCCUCUAAAAGGCAUCUCUCUGUGGAAGAAAAGGAGGGACCUGCCUCUAAAAUGAGUCUCUCUUGGGAGAGAGAGGAGGGACCUGCCUCUAAAAGGCAUCUCUCUGGGGAGAGAGAGGAGGGGGCCCCUGCCUCUAAAAUGUGGCUCUCUGGGGAACAUGACACCAAAUCUAAGAGUCCAAUCAGGCAGGAGAGACCAGCCUCCCUGUUCCCAGCUGUGUGUCCAUGAAGAGUGACCGGUCUAUGGAUCCUCCUCUAUACUUUAGAGAGGGAGACUUUUCUACUGAACAAAGGUAAGAAGAACUCAUGGGUCCUGGUCAGUGAGUUAAACAACACUGUCUCUAGUCAUUUCUCCUCUCCCACUUUCCCAUUUAUUGUUGCUGUUUUCAUAAUCUGUAGGCUAAUCAUUUUGUCCAUUUUCAUAUUCCUAAAACAAUAUUAAACAAACUCCACAUUCCGUCUGUGUGUGUGUGUGUG